Molecule: ribosomal RNA, 796 nt
Filed under: uncultured bacterium
Lineage: Bacteria
Description: bacterial SSU rRNA
Rfam family: Bacterial small subunit ribosomal RNA
Source: RNAcentral
AGAGUUUGAUCAUGGCUCAGGACGAACGCUGGCGGCGUGCCUAACACAUGCAAGUCAGGGAGAAAAGGGUAGCAAUAUCCUGAGUAAACCGGCGAACGGGUGAGUAACACGUAGGCAACUUACCUUGUGGACGGGGAUAACCCCGGGAAACCGGGGGCUAAUACCCGAUGAUAUCCUCUUACGGCAUUGCGAGAGGAUCAAAGGUCCGAAAGGACGUCACAAGAGAGGCCUGCGUCCCAUUAGAUGGUUGGCGGGGUAACGGCCCACCAAGUCAACGAUGGGUAGCUGGUCUGAGAGGACGACCAGCCACACUGGAACUGAGACACGGUCCAGACUUCUACGGAAGGCAGCAGUGAGGAAUAUUGCUCAAUGGGCGAAAGCCUGAAGCAGCGACGCCGCGUGAGGGAUGAAAUCCGUUAGGAUGUAAACCUCUUUUGCAGGGGAAGAAUGUCCCCGAUUUAUCGGGGAUUGACGGUACCCUGCGAAUAAGGAUCGGCCAACUACGUGCCAGCAGCCGCGGUAAUACGUAGGAUCCGAGCGUUGUCCGGAAUUACUGGGUGUAAAGGGUCCGCAGGCGGGCAAGCAAGUCGGUGGUGAAAGUUCACGGCUCAACCGUGAAAUUGCCUUCGAUACUGCUUGUCUUGAGUUCGAGAGAGGAUGAUGGAAUUCAUGGUGUAGCGGUGAAAUGCGUAGAGAUCAUGAAGAACACCAGUAGCGAAGGCGGUCAUCUGGCUCGAUACUGACGCUCAGGGACGAAAGCGUGGGUAGCAAACAGGAUUAGAUACCCUAGUAGUCC